GAUGAACGCUGGCGGCGUGCCUAAUACAUGCAAGUCGAGCGAACGGACGAGAAGCUUGCUUCUCUGAUGUUAGCGGCGGACGUGUGAGUAACACGUGGAUAACCUACCUAUAAGACUGGUAUAACUGCGGGAAACCGGAGCUAGUACCGUAUAAUAUUUUGAACCGCAUGGUUCCAAGGUGAAAGACUGUCUUGCGGUCACGUAUAGAUGGAUCUGCGCUCCAUUAGCUAGUUGGUAAGGUAACGGCUUACCAAGGCAACGAUGCAUAGCCGACCUGAGAGGGUGAUCGGCCACACUGGAACUGAGACACGGUCCAGACUCCUACGGGAGGCAGCAGUAGGGAAUCUUCCGCAAUGGGCGAAAGCCUGACGGAGCAACGCCGCGUGAGUGAUGAAGGUCUUCGGAUCGUAAAACUCUGUUAUUAGGGAAGAACAUAUGUGUAAGUAACUGUGCACAUCUUGACGGUACCUAAUCAGAAAGCCACGGCUAACUACGUG
Molecule: ribosomal RNA, 497 nt
Filed under: uncultured bacterium
Lineage: Bacteria
Description: partial 16S ribosomal RNA
Rfam family: Bacterial small subunit ribosomal RNA
Source: RNAcentral